This 484-nucleotide ribosomal RNA is filed under the name uncultured bacterium. Its description in RNAcentral is "partial 16S ribosomal RNA". It matches the Rfam family "Bacterial small subunit ribosomal RNA", at positions 30 to 507 of the family's 1533-position model. The record is from RNAcentral.
AUUGAACGCUGGCGGCAGGCCUAACACAUGCAAGUCGAGCGGAUGAAGGGAGCUUGCUCCUGGAUUCAGCUGCGGACGGGUGAGUAAUGCCUAGGAAUCUGCCUGGUAUUUGGGGAUAACGUCCGGAAACGGGCGCUAAUACCGCAUACGUCCUGAGGUAGAAAGUGGGGGAUCUUCGGACCUCACGCUAUCAGAUGAGCCUAGGUCGGAUUAGCUAGUUGGUGGGGUAAAGGCCUACCAAGGCGACGAUCCGUAACUGGUCUGAGAGGAUGAUCAGUCACACUGGAACUGAGACACGGUCCAGACUCCUACGGGAGGCAGCAGUAGGGAAUAUUGGACAAUGGGCGAAAGCCUGAUGCAGCCAUGCCGCGUGUGUGAAGAAGGUCUUCGGAUUGUAAAGCACUUUAAGUUGGGAGGAAGGACAGUAAGUUUAUACAUUGCUGUUUUGACGUUACCAACAGAGUAAGCACCGGCUAACUUCGUG